CCUACGGGUCGCAGCAGGCGCGAAAACUUUACAAUGCGGGAAACCGUGAUAAGGGAAUCUCGAGUGCCAGCAUAUAAUGUUGGCUGUCCAGAUGCCUAAAAAGCAUCUGUUAGCAAGGGCCGGGCAAGACCGGUGCCAGCCGCCGCGGUAACACCGGCGGCCCGAGUGGUAACCGCUAUUAUUGGGUCUAAAGGGUCUGUAGCCGGCCAGGUAAGUCCCUUGGGAAAUCUGGCAGCUCAACUGUCAGGCUGCUAGGGGAUACUGUUUGGCUUGGGACCGGGAGAGGUGAGAGGUACCUUGGGGGUAGGGGUGAAAUCUUGUGAUCCUCGGGGGACCACCAGUGGCGAAGGCGUCUCACCAGAACGGGUCCGACGGUAAGGGACGAAAGCUAGGGGCACGAACCGGAUUAGAUACCCUAGUAGUC
Molecule: ribosomal RNA, 424 nt
Filed under: uncultured archaeon
Lineage: Archaea
Description: bacterial SSU rRNA
Rfam family: Archaeal small subunit ribosomal RNA
Source: RNAcentral